AACGAACGCUGGCGGCAUGCCUAACACAUGCAAGUCGAACGAGACCUUCGGGUCUAGUGGCGCACGGGUGCGUAACGCGUGGGAAUCUACCCUUGGGUUCGGAAUAACAGUUAGAAAUGACUGCUAAUACCGGAUGAUGACGUAAGUCCAAAGAUUUAUCGCCCAAGGAUGAGCCCGCGUAAGAUUAGCUUGUUGGUGGGGCAAUGGCCUACCAAGGCGACGAUCUUUAGCUGGUCGGAGAGGAUGAUCAGCCACACUGGGACUGAGACACGGCCCAGACUCCUACGGGAGGCAGCAGUGGGGAAUAUUGGACAAUGGGCGAAAGCCUGAUCCAGCAGUGCCGCGUGAGUGAUGAAGGCCUUAGGGUUGUAAAGCUCUUUUACCAGGGAUGAUAAUGACAGUACCUGGAGAAUAAGCUCCGGCUAACUCCGUGCCAGCCGCCGCCGUAA
This 449-nucleotide ribosomal RNA is filed under the name uncultured bacterium. RNAcentral's name for it is "partial 16S ribosomal RNA". It matches the Rfam family "Bacterial small subunit ribosomal RNA", at positions 29 to 523 of the family's 1533-position model. The record is from RNAcentral.